CACACAUGGAAACUUAUGCAUCCUGGAAACCACCAGUACGUCCUAUAAAAAGAAAUAUUUCCACUGCAACAUACAUUUUUCCAGCUUAAGUCUGGAUGGGACUUCUGGGUGCAACUACUGAUCAGGAAACACACACAAACUCAAAACAGCUGAGGAGCAUUCCAACCCAGAACUGAUUCCACGUCAGUUCCUCAAGAAUAAAAGCCGCUAUUACCUGAGAGGUAUCUCUCCAGAGGGGAGGUGGAGCUUUGGCUUCCCCAACAGCAGAAGAACAGGCACCAAACCAGGACAGUGGCCAACACCAGCACGAACACCCAGAGCAGCCGGGCCAGAGGCGGCUACUGUGAGUGGAUCUGAGUUGCAGAUGGGCAGCAGCUGCGCAGAAGGCCACAGCCCACGUCAGCUCUGGAGGAGUGAGUAUGUGUCAGCGUGUGUUUCCUUCAGCGACUCGAGCAGUGAGGAGUAAAGCACAACGUGGUCUCGAAUAUCCAACAGCCACUCCCAGGGCAAAACAUCACACACACCCUCGCGUUUGACUCGGGCCCGGAGACCUGCUGGUUAAUGAUCUGGCUGGAGAUCCAUUCACAGCACGCUAUACUCUAUUUACAGUGGCUAAGAGGAUUAACGCUACUCUAUCAGGAUUCCUCCGGGGAGGCGGGGCUACCUGAUGCUGAUGCACUGAUGGAUCCGACA
Molecule: non-coding RNA, 693 nt
Organism: Misgurnus anguillicaudatus (oriental weatherfish)
Lineage: Eukaryota; Metazoa; Chordata; Actinopteri; Cypriniformes; Cobitidae
Source: RefSeq, a predicted model, not a curated record